RNAcentral lists this ribosomal RNA (450 nucleotides) under Toxoneuron abdominalis. Its description in RNAcentral is "eukaryotic LSU rRNA". Lineage: Eukaryota; Metazoa; Arthropoda; Insecta; Hymenoptera; Braconidae. The record is from RNAcentral.
AAACCGUUCAGGGGUAAACCUGUGAAACCCAAAAGAUCGAAUGAGGAGAUUCAUCGUCAGCAUUCGUAGUAUUAAUGCAAAUUAUGAUGUGAUUAUACAAUCCUUGUGGUUAUUAUUAUUACACUUGUUUGUAUUAUUUUCACUAUUUAUGUCGGCGUGCACUUCUCCUCUAGUAGAACGUUGCGACCUGUUAAAUGUUUGUCUAUGAGUCAUGUGGUAGACUUACAUAUUUUUAAUACGUAAGACCUGUGGUUAUCUGACAAACUGUUUGACAGUAUACAUAUGGUAUUGAGCCGCAAUAUUAUUUGCGUUAAAUCUUGAUACAAGUCAGAUUAUUUUCAAAUAGUACGGAUUAAUGCCGUCGUUUGAAAUAAUCAACUGUUGGUGUCAAGAUCUUUAACUGGCUUAUUUACCAGUCAGCGAUGCUACUGCUUUGGGUACUUUACAGGA